UCUCCACAUGACGGGUCGAGACCCUCUUCCCUCGCCGCCGCCUUCUCUCCUCUCCCUCGAUUCUCCUUGCACCGCCAACCUCGUUCUGCAUCCGCGCCUGCUCCGAGCCCCUUCUCUUCCCCAUGCCGCCUGCCUCCUCCUCUGUACCCCUCCUCUUACCAUGCCGCCGGCCUCCUCCUCUGCGCGUCUCCUCGUCGGUUGUCGCUCCAAUUCAUGGACCUCCUUGUCGCGGUUGUAGUGGUCGAACAAGACGAAGAGGAGCUGCAGCAUCGGGUCGGUGCAGCGGCCGGCUGCAGGGGCCUCGGUGGAAGAGACCAUCGAUGGCCGUCGACGGCACGGAUGACGACCAGCUGGUCUCAAUAUCCACGGAGGACGUCGUCCGGGCCUCCCGCCUUGUCAACAAUGAGAUCUGCGUCCUCGAGGCAAGCCGCACCCUCCCAAACCUAGAUCCCCUUGCUUCCGCGGAGCCAAGCAGGAAAUCUCAUGAGACUUGUUCCCUUGUUUCGUUUGUUAGAGUUUGGGUUUAGGUCUGAUUGAUUGGCAUUUCUAUAUCACCCCUCGCUGACGACGGCGCAUAGGACGAGAUGCAGCGAAGGAACCGGGAGAGUGGAGACCCUCAAGGACUUGCAUCAUGAAGAUAGCAGUUAAAAGGUGGCUUUAGUUCUGGGCAUGAACCAGUAUGGUGGUGUUUGGGAAACUGUUGGUAAAGUCAGUUAGGACCUAACGGUGCUGAAAACAUACCUACCGAUGGAGAGAAGGGCUCAAGAGGGACCGCUGAGCAUAAUGAUUCCAUAACUAGGCUAAAACAAGCAUCAGCAACUAAUGUUUCAGCGGUUGCCACAAAGGCUAAGUCGCUGAUCAGGAGGAAGAUCAAUUUUUGUGCCUCCUUGCAUGUGCUACAAUGAUCGUUCUCACAUUUAGAAAUUGGAUUUAGUCUUUGGUUCAUGUUGAGGAGUUUGGAUUAUUGUGAGGACAACUUUUUGGAGUUUGGUUUACCCUGAGUAAUUGUUGUAGGAGUUGGGAGUGCUCUAUAUGCUCUGCGAUGACUGCUUGCACUACAGGAGCCUCCCGACGAAGGUCAUCUUUCUCACUUUUCUCCCCCUCCAGCCCCUCCCUCUAAAUCCCAUUGUAACUUUCAUGUGAAAGAGACUAGAUCAUGCAUAAGAAAGGGCAGAUUAGCAUUUCAUUGGUGUGUGUGCAUCGGCAGUGAGCUUUUGUGCUACUUUUAUUUCAGAGUGAUGACCAGUACUACUAAUUGGCAGAUACUCUAUUUUAUUUUGUGUUGCACUUAGCUCAAAUUAUUAUAUUUUCUUUAGAUGUCGGGUGAAAAGAGGUACCAAUAGAAUAUAUACCAGAUACUGAUUAUCUGCGAAAAAUUCUUAGCAUGUGGUCAUCUAAACGUAUUUGUUUUUCUAAGCCGCACAAACCAGGUUCAAAGAGUUGUAAGAAAGGAGAACUACGUGAAAUCAUGUACCAACUACUAACGCCUACCAACAAUCAGGUCGGUUCAGAGCCAGUCGCAGAAAAUAACCAACGGAAUUAUGCUCAUACCGCGAAUGGGAAGUGCAACUUUUAACCAAGAUGGCUUCUAGAUCAAUGUAAAAUAAUAGAUAUAGCUGACACUUGCAGCACCAUCUCCUUCCCGGUGAGAUCGGUGAAGUGGUUGAGGCCGAGGGGAUACGUGUAGACCCUGGUUUCGACCGCGGUCUUGUGUCGAUCGACGAGGCAAAAAUGGAAUUUUCUCAAAAGAAAAAGGGGAUAGGUAGAUUUAGUGUGCAAGUAUAACUAGGAUAGAUAGAUAGAUAGAUAGAUAACGUGUACUACCUCUGAUUGGCUUUUGUUGAACGGAUUCUGACUGUUGUCUUGCACUAAACUGAACAAGUGCCCAUGCAGUUUUACAAUCUGAACAUUCAUUUCAUUAAACAAGAAAAGCUAGGUUGGUCAUCAAUGAAGCAUUUAUGGAUCCAUUUGAUGAUGAAUCCUAUCCCAUCCCAUCUUGAAUACCCCUCUCUGCAUUUCAAAGGUACUAGCUAGCAUUACCCUAUUUGUGUUUGUCGAUCAAGUUUUCAGAUCAAUAGCUAUUAUUUUUUUUCUAAAUGUUUUAUAUAUGAUAACUUUUGUACAUACUGGUGUCCAUAUAAGUCAGCUAUGUAGUCUUGAUAUUUCAUAUGUACCUUCAAUUUUUUUGCCUCAAGUAAUGAGAUUAAAAUAAGUUUUAUGUUGUACAGCAAAUAUCUUGAGAGUGACCACUCCAAAACUUUAUGUUGGUAGGUACAUAUUUGAUAGCAUACUGUAGUCAAGGUAUAGUCUGUACUGUCAUUUCUUUUUGUGGUUAAAAUAUAUGACAGUUCAGUUGUCCAAGAAAAUUUUAAGAGGUUACUUCAGUACUUUGGGUCGUUAGUUUGGAGAAAACAUUUAGGCUUUCCCUUCUGCUGCUAUUCAUGAGGAUGUCCCUUUUUCUGUAUAUUCUUGUGUUAAUUAAGAAAAGGUUAACCACAUUAUUUGGAGCUUUACCUCAGCUCUUAUGUUUGCAAAUUGAUUUGUUGAACUUUUGGUGCAAGGAGAUCAACUACCUCUUGCCUGCAUUGCCUGUUAGAACGUUUUGGUCAAGAAAUAUGUAAUAUAAGAGAUAUUCUCCACUUUAGUUUGACUUCUUGACAAAUGAAAUAAAAGUGAAGUCUUAUUGGAAAUACACCUGAUCCAUUAUACUCCCUCUGUUCCAAAUUACUCGUCGUGGUUUUAGUCCAAAUUUGAACUAAAACCAUGACGAGUAAUUUGGAACGGAGGGAGUAUAUGGCAAUGUCAGUUCUAAGAUUAGUUCUUAACUGCUUAUGGCUUGUUACCGAGUACUUCUACUUAAUAUUUCUUAUUAUUUGUUGUCAAAUAUACCUAAGGGCACCAUCAUGUUUAUUUUUGUUAAUAAUCACUGACUUGACAUUAGAGCUUUGUCGUCUCAGUUUUGAUUUUUCCAAAUGGAUUUGCUUAUCAAAUGGUUGUCUCUCGGGUAAUGCGUGCACUUAAUUCAAGGAAAAGAUAUGAAUGGGUAUGCAGGAAGGGGAGUGCGUUCCGCUGCUGUAUGAGAAAAAGUGCACGCAACUGAGGACCUAGGAUGCCAACGGUGCAGAGCCGUUCACCAUCGAGAGGACCAGGGCUACCAUCAGGAAUCUCCGGACCAAGCUCAACAUCACCGUCGCCUUUGUCAAAGACGUGUCCCGGAGGGUAGUUGUCAUCUGCGACUCCUCCAAAUGCUGGCAAGGAUGUGGCGAGUCAUUGGCGACGUGCACCGGGUGAUGAAGCGCAUAGUGGAUGAGGUGAGCGAGCUUCUCCCAUAGUCACCACACGGUCGGAGGCAUCAGAGGCACACCACCGCCGUUGGGGCCUACACAUGCGCAAUUUCUAUUGUUGUAUCUUAUUAGUUGCCAUGCAGCAAGAUGCUUCUGUCGAUGGUAUUAUAAUUGUUGUGUGUUGUCUGUGAUGGAAUAUUAUUUUCUUUCUCACGUGAUGUAUAAAUAUAAUAAGUUUAUCAAGAAUUUCGUAUCCAGAUCCAAAAAGGAAACUGAAAGGGUCGUUCCCUGGUGCCA
RNAcentral lists this ribosomal RNA (3581 nucleotides) under Triticum aestivum (bread wheat). RNAcentral describes it as "partial small subunit ribosomal RNA". Lineage: Eukaryota; Viridiplantae; Streptophyta; Magnoliopsida; Poales; Poaceae. The record is from RNAcentral.